AUUGAACGCUGGCGGCAGGCCUAACACAUGCAAGUCGAACGGUAGCACAGAGAGCUUGCUCUCGGGUGACGAGUGGCGGACGGGUGAGUAACGUCUGGGAAACUGCCCGAUGGAGGGGGAUAACUACUGGAAACGGUAGCUAAUACCGCAUAACGUCGCAAGACCAAAGUGGGGGACCUUCGGGCCUCACACCAUCGGAUGUGCCCAGAUGGGAUUAGCUAGUAGGUGGGGUAAUGGCUCACCUAGGCGACGAUCCCUAGCUGGUCUGAGAGGAUGACCAGCCACACUGGAACUGAGACACGGUCCAGACUCCUACGGGAGGCAGCAGUGGGGAAUAUUGCACAAUGGGCGCAAGCCUGAUGCAGCCAUGCCGCGUGUAUGAAGAAGGCCUUCGGGUUGUAAAGUACUUUCAGCGGGGAGGAAGGCGGUGAAGUUAAUAGCUUCACCGAUUGACGUUACCCGCAGAAGAAGCACUGGCUAACUCCGUGCCAGCAGCCGCAGUAA
Molecule: ribosomal RNA, 504 nt
Filed under: uncultured bacterium
Lineage: Bacteria
Description: partial 16S ribosomal RNA
Rfam family: Bacterial small subunit ribosomal RNA
Source: RNAcentral